This is a long non-coding RNA of Apteryx rowi (Okarito brown kiwi), 1280 nucleotides long. NCBI's taxonomy places the organism in Eukaryota, Metazoa, Chordata, Aves, Apterygiformes, Apterygidae. The record is from Ensembl.
AAAAACUGCUCAGGCCCCGAGCCAAACACUCGGCAUGCUCAAAUUAUCGUCACUGACCCUUGCAGAGUUGGACGAGUACCGUAACUGGUAAAAGAGCUGUUGGUGGCUGAGGAAGGCUGGAGGAGAAAGGUUUGCAGCAGUAUCUUUUGUUGACAAUACUACACUUUUGCCAGGAGAGUGAGAGUCAAGGCUUGGAGGUUUUCUGUUUUCUCUGCUGCUGUUGUCAUACGGUGUGACCUUGGACAAACCCUAUUUCUGAGUUUCCCGCUUCUUUCUUAGGAAGAGACUUAACAUCUGUGCUGCGCUUAGAUGGCUUUAAAUGGCAGCUGCUGCCACAGUGACCAGCAUGAAUCUCCUGCCUCGCUACUUGACUCCAGAGGAAUUUCCUCCUCACACUGAUGUUUAGGGAAGCUGCACCUGGGCACCCACCAGUUUGCCUUUCUCUUUCCUGGGGAAACUAGCAUGUAUGACCACAUUCUGCGGUGACUUACAACCUGGGCAAAUUCCAAGUAUUUAACCUUUGUUCUUUCUUGACACUCUGCAAAUUAACUUAAAAUAACAGAGUAAAAUAGACAAUAUGGAAUGUUUGCUGGAAGUAAUUGACAAAAUUGAAUUUCACAACUUUAAAAUCUUGUAAAUACUGCUUACCCUUACUGGUUAGUUGAGUUUUGCUGUUGUUAGCUUGUUUUGUAAGCUGAGUUCAAAAACAAAAUAUUCAUAGAUAUUUAUUCAGUAUAGAAAAUAGUUAGGAUUUUAAAGAACAAAUAAAAAUAGACAGAUCCAUCAAGGUUUAGUUUAUUUUUUUGACUUAGAGCAAAAUUAAUUGAUAUUAAUUUUUGGAGUUUUCAGAGUAUAUGGAUCUCAUAACUAGGCUCAGUUUUUUUCUGUUAUAAAAAUAGCCAUCUGAAAGUUGAUAAUACAUUACUCUGAAUUCACAGCAGAAGACAUAAUUAGGCCUGUAUAUCUUUGCCAACAGGAAUGAAAAAAAUGUCACCCUAUUCCUUAUCUGGAUCAGGUCCUCAUUGUAUUGUCUUCCCUCAGACCCUCAUGAAAUACAUGAAAUAUGUAUCGGGGGUAUUGUCCCCCACCGCUGAACAGCCAGGAGAGCACAACAAGCAGACUCUGGAAAUGAUAAUCAGGAGUUCUAGUCCUCUCCCACCGUGGGUGCAGCCCUGCAAAAUUAAUUGGGGCUGACCUCCUGCUGAACUGCUGUGGUAUUAGAGAAAGAACUCCCACAUCUGCCUUAAAUGUCUCGGUAAGUCCUAGCGAUACAAAAAUGC